UGGGGAAUUUUGGACAAUGGGCGCAAGCCUGAUCCAGCAAUGCCGCGUGCAGGAUGAAGGCCUUCGGGUUGUAAACUGCUUUUGUACGGAACGAAAAAGCUCUCUCUAAUACAGGGGGUGAAUGACGGUACCGUAAGAAUAAGCACCGGCUAACUACGUGCCAGCAGCCGCGGUAAUACGUAGGGUGCAAGCGUUAAUCGGAAUUACUGGGCGUAAAGCGUGCGCAGGCGGUUUUGUAAGACAGAUGUGAAAUCCCCGGGCUUAACCUGGGAACUGCGUUUGUGACUGCAAGGCUGGAGUACGGCAGAGGGGGGUGGAAUUACACGUGUAGCAGUGAAAUGCGUAGAGAUGUGGAGGAACACCGAUGGCGAAGGCAGCCCCCUGGGCCUGUACUGACGCUCAUGCACGAAAGCGUGGGGAGCAAACA
This 427-nucleotide ribosomal RNA is filed under the name uncultured bacterium. Its description in RNAcentral is "bacterial SSU rRNA". It matches the Rfam family "Bacterial small subunit ribosomal RNA", at positions 355 to 774 of the family's 1533-position model. The record is from RNAcentral.